UACGUAGGGUGCAAGCGUUGUCCGGAAUUAUUGGGCGUAAAGCGCUCGUAGGCGGUUUUUCGCGUCGAAUGUGCAAACCCGGGGCUCAACCCCGGGCCUGCAUUCGAUACGGGCAGACUAGAGUUCGGUAGGGGAGUCUGGAAUUCCUGGUGUAGCGGUGAAAUGCGCAGAUAUCAGGAGGAACACCGGUGGCGAAGGCGGGACUCUGGGCCGAUACUGACGCUGAGGAGCGAAAGCGUGGGGAGCAAACAGG
RNAcentral lists this ribosomal RNA (253 nucleotides) under uncultured bacterium. RNAcentral describes it as "partial 16S ribosomal RNA". It matches the Rfam family "Bacterial small subunit ribosomal RNA", at positions 524 to 776 of the family's 1533-position model. The record is from RNAcentral.